RNAcentral lists this ribosomal RNA (695 nucleotides) under bacterium SCSIO13102. RNAcentral describes it as "bacterial SSU rRNA". It matches the Rfam family "Bacterial small subunit ribosomal RNA", at positions 56 to 732 of the family's 1533-position model. The record is from RNAcentral.
UGCAGUCGAGCGGAGUUGAUGGAAAGCUUGCUUUCCUGAGACUUAGCGGCGGACGGGUGAGUAACACGUAGGCAACCUGCCCUCAAGCUUGGGACAACUACCGGAAACGGUAGCUAAUACCGAAUACUUGUUUUCUUCGCCUGAAGGGAACUGGAAAGACGGAGCAAUCUGUCACUUGAGGAUGGGCCUGCGGCGCAUUAGCUAGUUGGUGAGGUAACGGCUCACCAAGGCGACGAUGCGUAGCCGACCUGAGAGGGUGAUCGGCCACACUGGGACUGAGACACGGCCCAGACUCCUACGGGAGGCAGCAGUAGGGAAUCUUCCGCAAUGGGCGAAAGCCUGACGGAGCAAUGCCGCGUGAGUGAUGAAGGUUUUCGGAUCGUAAAGCUCUGUUGCCAGGGAAGAACGCUUGGGAGAGUAACUGCUCUCAAGGUGACGGUACCUGAGAAGAAAGCCCCGGCUAACUACGUGCCAGCAGCCGCGGUAAUACGUAGGGGGCAAGCGUUGUCCGGAAUUAUUGGGCGUAAAGCGCGCGCAGGCGGUCAUGUAAGUCUGGUGUUUAAUCCCGGGGCUCAACCCCGGAUCGCACUGGAAACUGCGUGACUUGAGUGCAGAAGAGGAGAGUGGAAUUCCACGUGUAGCGGUGAAAUGCGUAGAGAUGUGGAGGAACACCAGUGGCGAAGGCGACUCUCUGG